This 467-nucleotide ribosomal RNA is filed under the name uncultured bacterium. Its description in RNAcentral is "partial 16S ribosomal RNA". It matches the Rfam family "Bacterial small subunit ribosomal RNA", at positions 28 to 507 of the family's 1533-position model. The record is from RNAcentral.
GACGAACGCUGGCGGCGUGCUUAACACAUGCAAGUCGAACGGAAAGGCUCCAGCUUGCUGGCGUACUCGAGUGGCGAACGGGUGAGUAACACGUGGGUAAUCUGCCCUGCACUCUGGGAUAAGCCUGGGAAACUGGGUCUAAUACUGGAUAUGACCUUUCUCCUUAUGGGGUUUGGUGGAAAGUUUUUCGGUGUAGGAUGAGCCCGCGGCCUAUCAGCUUGUUGGUGGGGUGAUGGCCUACCAAGGCGACGACGGGUAGCCGGCCUGAGAGGGUGAUCGGCCACAUUGGGACUGAGAUACGGCCCAGACUCCUACGGGAGGCAGCAGUGGGGAAUAUUGCACAAUGGGCGGAAGCCUGAUGCAGCGACGCCGCGUGAGGGAUGACGGCCUUCGGGUUGUAAACCUCUUUCAGCAGGAACGAAGCGUAAGUGACGGUACCCGCAGAAGAAGCACCGGCUAACUAUGUG